RNAcentral lists this transfer RNA (73 nucleotides) under Dipodomys ordii (Ord's kangaroo rat). It matches the Rfam family "tRNA". From Rfam's summary of the family: Transfer RNA (tRNA) molecules are approximately 80 nucleotides in length. Their secondary structure includes four short double-helical elements and three loops (D, anti-codon, and T loops). Lineage: Eukaryota; Metazoa; Chordata; Mammalia; Rodentia; Heteromyidae. The record is from Rfam by way of RNAcentral.
GGUGGUGUGGUUCAGAAGGCAGAGUACCUGCCUAGAAAGCACAAGGCUUUCAGUUUAAAUCUCAGUACUGCCA